ACGGCCAUAUCACGUUGAAACACUCGCUCCCGUACUAUCACCGAAGUUAAGCAACAUUGAACCUAGUCAGAACCUAGAUGGGUAACCGCUUGGGAAUACCAGUGC
Molecule: non-coding RNA, 105 nt
Organism: Acanthosepion pharaonis
Lineage: Eukaryota; Metazoa; Mollusca; Cephalopoda; Sepiida; Sepiidae
Source: the annotation of a GenBank genome assembly